RNAcentral lists this long non-coding RNA (928 nucleotides) under Mus musculus (house mouse). Its description in RNAcentral is "long non-coding RNA chr11:116098940-116099868". The record is from RNAcentral. Lineage: Eukaryota; Metazoa; Chordata; Mammalia; Rodentia; Muridae.
AGAGGGAAACGCAGGAGGAUUCUGAGAUGGAGGCCAGCCUGGGCUGUUUUGGUAACUGAAAUAGAAAAACCGGACAGCAGGCACCACUCCCAAACCCAGAAGAGCAAAGCGAAUGUUGGAAUUCUUGCAGCAGGACCUUUCUUACAGAACCCCCCACCAGGGCCGAGAAGGCCCCUGUGCCCAGUGCUGGUGCAUCUCUGCUGCUGAUCCGGGUACAGCACAUGCAGGGGCUGGGAAAACAGAGUCAGGGUUCCAGAGCUGCUAGGGAACUGGACCUGCCCUGGUGAGGAUCUGGGAGGCAGCGAGCAGACCGGAAGCAGUGCACUUUCCCAGAGCUCCAGCGCUCCAGCAGCCUUGGAGACAGGAAAACUUUCCAAGAAGAGAACCUUAGACACAGUUCCUCACGAGGGAGAGCUCCAGGCAAAGAUCAAGAUGGAGACCAACAAGCCAAGGAUUGUGACUGCCAGAUAAGGUCAGCAAGCCGUCUACCAGAUGUGGAUCAUUCCUUCCUUGUACCAGGGAGGUGGGACAGUGGACACAGAGAGGAGCUCUUGGGCUCCCACAGAGGGUCCCAAAGAAACAGCCCUGGUGCGUAGACUGUGUGAAGUGUUGCCAAUUUCCCCGUACCAUAGAGGGAGAAGACGUGACCCCCAGAAGAACAUGCCUGAGGUUAAAUUCCUUAUCUUUUUGGUAAAAGGUGGCUUUUUGGUUUCCUCUCCUGUUGCUGUGAUAAAGUACUCUGACAGACACAACCUAAGUGAAAAAUGGUUUAUUCUGGCUCUCAGUUCAAGAGUACAGCCCACGGGGUGGCGAGAUGGCUCAGUGGUUUGAGAGCAGGUAUUGUUCUUGCAGGGGACUGGAGUUCAGUUGCCAGGACCGCCUCAGGCAGCUCACAACCCAUAAAUCAAUAAAGAAAAAUCAAUAAAUU